CACCUGAUUCCAUCCCGAACUCAGAAGUGAAAAGCUGUAACGUCGAUGGUAGUGUGGGGAUUCCCCAUGUGAGAGUAGAGCAUCGUCGGGG
Molecule: ribosomal RNA, 91 nt
Filed under: Glaesserella parasuis
Lineage: Bacteria; Pseudomonadati; Pseudomonadota; Gammaproteobacteria; Pasteurellales; Pasteurellaceae
Source: RNAcentral